RNAcentral lists this ribosomal RNA (497 nucleotides) under uncultured bacterium. RNAcentral's name for it is "partial 16S ribosomal RNA". It matches the Rfam family "Bacterial small subunit ribosomal RNA", at positions 28 to 507 of the family's 1533-position model. The record is from RNAcentral.
GAUGAACGCUGGCGGCGUGCCUAAUACAUGCAAGUCGAGCGAACAGACGAGGAGCUUGCUCCUCUGACGUUAGCGGCGGACGGGUGAGUAACACGUGGAUAACCUACCUAUAAGACUGGGAUAACUUCGGGAAACCGGAGCUAAUACCGGAUAAUAUAUUGAACCGCAUGGUUCAAUAGUGAAAGACGGUUUUGCUGUCACUUAUAGAUGGAUCCGCGCCGCAUUAGCUAGUUGGUAAGGUAACGGCUUACCAAGGCAACGAUGCGUAGCCGACCUGAGAGGGUGAUCGGCCACACUGGAACUGAGACACGGUCCAGACUCUUACGGGAGGCAGCAGUAGGGAAUCUUCCGCAAUGGGCGAAAGCCUGACGGAUCAACGCCGCGUGAGUGAUGAAGGUCUUCGGAUCGUAAAACUCUGUUAUUAGGGAAGAACAAAUGUGUAAGUAACUAUGCACGUCUUGACGGUACCUAAUCAGAAAGCCACGGCUAACUACGUG